Molecule: ribosomal RNA, 390 nt
Filed under: Rhodococcus jostii
Lineage: Bacteria; Bacillati; Actinomycetota; Actinomycetes; Mycobacteriales; Nocardiaceae
Description: bacterial SSU rRNA
Rfam family: Bacterial small subunit ribosomal RNA
Source: RNAcentral
CGUGGGUGAGGGUGGAAAGGUUUACUGGUGCCUGAUGGGCCCGAUGCCUAUCUACUUGUUGGUGGGGUAAUGGGCUACCAAGGCGACGACUGGUAACCGACCUGAAAAGGUGACCGACCCCCCUGGGACUGAAACACAGCCCAAAAUCCUACCGGAGGGAACAGUGGGGAAUAUUGCACAAUGGGCGAAAGCCUGAUGCCACGACUCCCCGUGAGGGAUGACGGGCUUCCGGUUGGAAACCUCUUUCUGCAGGGACGAAACGAAAGUGACCUUACCUGCAGAACUGCACCGGCUAACUACGUGCCAGCAACCGCGGUCUACGUAGGGUGCAAGCGUUGUCCGGAAUUACUGGGCGUAAAGAGUUCAUAUGCGGAUUGUCGCGUCGUUUGU